GACCCACGAUAUACUAAGCUAAAUGUUGAUGCAGCGUUCUUUGCAGAUGAAGUACUGGGUGCAACAUCUGCAGUACUUAGAGAUGACAGGGGGAACUUUAUUGCGGCUCAGUGCAAAUUCAUCCCACAUGCAGCGAAUGUUAUUACUGUUGAAGCAAUGGCUAUGAGGGAUGGAUUAGAGUUCGCUAAUUCGCUCGGUCUGAACCAAGUUGAUGCGGAGUCGGACUCACUACAAGUCAUCAAUUACUGCAAUGGACAGACGAGAUGGUGGGAUGAUGCGGCAGCUUUAUUCGUUGAGUGUGUGGAUUUAGGAUCUAUGAUCGGGAAGGUCAUGUUUAAGCAUUGUCUUCGUUCUUGUAACAAAGUAGUGCAUGUGCUAGCAAACUAUAGUUAUUGUAAUAUGGCUUCGAUUAGUUGGUUAAACGAGCCUCCUGACUGUAUUGUCAGUUUGCUCGUAGACGAUGUAAAC
This 468-nucleotide ribosomal RNA is filed under the name Triticum aestivum (bread wheat). RNAcentral describes it as "partial small subunit ribosomal RNA". The record is from RNAcentral. Lineage: Eukaryota; Viridiplantae; Streptophyta; Magnoliopsida; Poales; Poaceae.